UGCAGCUAGCGCUCACACGAAAUGCAGCCGCGCGCCUGUUGCUCAGUCUUUAGCUGGAUCGCCGCUGAACGUGAACUACCUCGUGUGUCUACCGGGCAGAUGGAUGUGUCUACCGUGCAGAGAGAUGUGUCUACCGUGCAGAGAGAUGUGCAGCCUUCGUGGUGCUCAAGCCGUCCUGAUGGCUCAGUCGUUGUGGACUUUUAACUCAGUGUCUUGAAAUGGUUCAGUCGUUGUGGACCUUUAACUCAGUGCCUUGAAAUGGCUCAGUCGUUGUGGACCUGUAACUCAGUGUCUUGAACCGAUCACUCCGAUCACCUCUCCGUGGCCUGACGUGCGCAUCCCAUCCGUCGAAAUGAAGGAGGGCCCACGGAGACCGAAGGGCUGUGAUUGGUCCAACCCACGGGGACCGAAGGGCUGUGAUUGGUCCAACCCACGGGGACCGAAGGGCUGUGAUUGGUCCAACCCACGGGGACCGAAGGGC
This is a long non-coding RNA of Clupea harengus (Atlantic herring), 481 nucleotides long. RefSeq lists it as uncharacterized. NCBI's taxonomy places the organism in Eukaryota, Metazoa, Chordata, Actinopteri, Clupeiformes, Clupeidae. The transcript is spliced from 5 exons. The record is from RefSeq and is a predicted model, not a curated record.